This 202-nucleotide long non-coding RNA is filed under the name Setaria italica (foxtail millet). RNAcentral's name for it is "long non-coding RNA (SITA_LNC001925)". Lineage: Eukaryota; Viridiplantae; Streptophyta; Magnoliopsida; Poales; Poaceae. The record is from RNAcentral.
GGGAUGGCCAUGAAUUUGGCUAAUGCUGGUCUUCCAAGAAUAGCGUGGUACGAUAUUUUGAAAUCCGCUACCUCGAACCAGAUGUAUUCUGUCCGAUAGUGUUCUUUGAUCCCAAAAGGUUAUUGGCAAAACCACCUGUCCAAGGGGUACAGCUGCGUUGCCGGGGACGAUCCCAUAGAAUAGAGAGUUUGUUGGGGUGAGC